UUGAGCUCUCCAAGGAGCAUUCUGCCUUGCUGAAAGUGACACGGAUAGCGAUGGGGUGACGAAGUAUGGCCUGGCCAUUAAUUGAGAGUCUUCCAUAGGGCUGAUCUUUACUCCUUGAGUCAGAAGUGGGAUGUGGCUGCGGUAUAGGUAGUGGAUUUCUGAUUCAGUGGUUAAGUCAAAUUGAAAAGAUUAACUUUUAUUGGUGGGGUAAUGAAUGAAGCUUGAUCACUGUAGUUAAACUGUUCCUUCAAAGCUUCAGCGGACGAGUUCAUGCUUUUCACGCCGAUUUUGAUGGCACUUGAGGAAGAUGGAAAGAAGUUGAUCAGUUAUGGAAUUAAAUCAAUCGGAACUUCUUCUUCAUCACAAGCGCUUCAAUUUCCGUGUCUGUUCUUGGCUUGUUGUAAUGUUUGUUCAAGUGAUCCUCCAUUUCCAUAUGCCCAAAAUCGCUUUCAAGCCUCUCCUCUGUUUGAUGAAAGGCUGAGAGGUGCCUUGAGGGGGCCUGUAUUCCGCUCUUAUAGAUGGACCAAAUUUGAUCUUGGUUGGAGUUAACUGGGGUUAUCCACAAAAGAUUUGAGAGUGGCUGAGCCUUCCACAAGCAUAACAGAAGUCUGCUAAUUUCUCAUAUUUGAAUGUUAUCCAAACAACUUUGUUCCCGAAUCUAGGCAAUGGAAAACCUUUUUUUAGUGGUUUUGUGA
Molecule: long non-coding RNA, 695 nt
Organism: Carya illinoinensis
Lineage: Eukaryota; Viridiplantae; Streptophyta; Magnoliopsida; Fagales; Juglandaceae
Exons: 2
Source: RefSeq, a predicted model, not a curated record